CCUACGGGAGGCAGCAGUGGGGAAUAUUGCACAAUGGGGGAAACCCUGAUGCAGCGACGCCGCGUGAGUGAAGAAGUAUUUCGGUAUGUAAAGCUCUAUCAGCAGGGAAGAAAAUGACGGUACCUGACUAAGAAGCCUCGGCUAACUACGUGCCAGCAGCCGCGGUAAUACGUAGGGGGCAAGCGUUAUCCGGAUUUACUGGGGGUAAAGGGAGCGUAGACGGCGGAACAAGUCAGAAUUGAAAACCCGGGUCUCACCCCUGGGAGUGCUUGUGAAACUGUUUGGCUGGAGUGCAGGAGAGGUGAGCGGAAUUCCUAGUGUAGCGGUGAAAUGCGUAGAUAUUAGGAGGAACACCAGUGGCGAAGGCGGCUUACUGGACUGUAACUGACGUUGAGGCUCGAAAGCGUGGGGAGCAAACAGGAUUAGAUACCCCAGUAGUC
This 440-nucleotide ribosomal RNA is filed under the name uncultured bacterium. RNAcentral describes it as "partial 16S ribosomal RNA". It matches the Rfam family "Bacterial small subunit ribosomal RNA", at positions 338 to 795 of the family's 1533-position model. The record is from RNAcentral.